RNAcentral lists this transfer RNA (37 nucleotides) under Parablechnum wurunuran. RNAcentral's name for it is "partial tRNA-Phe". The record is from RNAcentral. Lineage: Eukaryota; Viridiplantae; Streptophyta; Polypodiopsida; Polypodiales; Blechnaceae.
GCCGAGAUAGCUCAGUCGGUAGAGCAGAGGACUGAAA